This is a non-coding RNA of Notechis scutatus (mainland tiger snake), 728 nucleotides long. The record is from RefSeq and is a predicted model, not a curated record. NCBI's taxonomy places the organism in Eukaryota, Metazoa, Chordata, Lepidosauria, Squamata, Elapidae.
UGCAGGUGCAGGAGGGCCAGAUCACCCACAUCCAGUACGAGCAAGGCGGCCCCUUCGUGCAGGAGCCCCAGAUCCAGUACGUCCCAGUGUCCCCCGGGCAGCAGCUUGUCACACAAGCCCAGCUGGAGGCCGCGGCACACUCGGCCGUGACGGUUAUCGGCGGGGCCGGGAGCAGCAAAGAGACCCCUGCGGAGCAGGAGCUGCUGCCCGUCGCCUUGGACCGAUCGGCUGCCAGUUUGGGCAAAGGGAAAAGCCCUGGUUGCCUCUUCUGCACAGCAGUGGCGGACGUGGCCGUGGCCCACGCUCCCUUCGGCACGGAGUCUGGGCCGGAGCAGCUGCAGCCGGGCAUCCACUACGACAUCAUCACCCUCGCAGAAUGACCGGCUUUGGCCCCCCCGGCCUCUUUGGGGACCCUUGGGGGCAAAGGGGAUUGUGCCUCCCGCUCCGGCCGUUGCUCCAACCUGCCCGCCCCGCAAGUCACCUGGCAGGCCAGGUGGAGGGGGGGCUCUUCCCAGGGACCGCCUGGAAGUGGGACGUCCAGCCCAAGGCUGGAGCCAGCAGCCUCACCCGGGGAUGCCUGGUGGAUGCUCUGCUGAAUAAAAAGGGCCCCCGCCAGGCCUGGACAUGGUUGCGGGUCUGUGUGAUGGAUGGCUUGGGAGAGCGGGGCCCUUCACACACACACACACACACACACACACACACACACACCCAGCCACUCCACCCCCUUC